This 27-nucleotide non-coding RNA is filed under the name Mus musculus (house mouse). The record is from RNAcentral. Lineage: Eukaryota; Metazoa; Chordata; Mammalia; Rodentia; Muridae.
UGAACUCAGCAGAAUCCCAGCAGGGUU